Stegastes partitus (bicolor damselfish) is the source of this 603-nucleotide long non-coding RNA. RefSeq lists it as uncharacterized. The record is from RefSeq and is a predicted model, not a curated record. The transcript has 2 exons. Lineage: Eukaryota; Metazoa; Chordata; Actinopteri; Pomacentridae.
AACUUCUUCUUCUUCUGCAGUCGUCAAACCUUCAGCAGUGAGUUUGGUGAAGGUUCGGCUGAUCGAAGGUUCUGCAGACCUGUCCGACCCGACGGUGCAAGAAUCCAUCCUGCAGCAGCUGAAGCAGCAGCUGGUGGACAGAGGGAUCACAGAGGAGGUGAAGCUGAGGUGGAAGAAACAGCCUGACGGGGAGGUUUUCCACAGAGAGGACGAGGAGACAGCGCCACCUGCUGACCAUCACCAGGAAGACAGCUGCAAAGCACUUUAGAGCUUUAUCUGUUGCUGAGUUACAUUCAGAAAAAGCUUUACAGCAUAGAACAUAAAGAUGUAAGAACUGAGGAACCAAUGCAGGAGUUCAGGAGAAGUAGUAGCAGAGUAGUAAAGAGACUAAAGUAUCUGAUUAAGACUUUAUAUUAGAUAAGAUGAGUUGUGUUUGCUCUGAAUAUGAUUAAAAUGUGAGAGUCUCUCAAUCAGUUUGGUUUUGUAUGUUGAUGAUUUAGUUUGCAUAUUAUAGUUUGAGACUUUAAACUUUUGGACACUUCUGUAACUUCAGAACAUCUGUUGACCAAGAAACACAAUAAAGCCUUUUAAGUCUGAAUUUUA